CCGGGAGUAACUUAAUUGGUAGAGGGUCAACCUGUCGAGUUGCACGAUGCGGGUUCGAAUCCUGCCUCCCCCG
Molecule: transfer RNA, 73 nt
Filed under: Genlisea aurea
Lineage: Eukaryota; Viridiplantae; Streptophyta; Magnoliopsida; Lamiales; Lentibulariaceae
Rfam family: tRNA
About the family: Transfer RNA (tRNA) molecules are approximately 80 nucleotides in length. Their secondary structure includes four short double-helical elements and three loops (D, anti-codon, and T loops).
Source: Rfam by way of RNAcentral